UUCGUUAUAAUGAAAAUAGACUACUUUAAAAGUUUAUAAAGGAUAAAAGGGAAUUAAGUGCAAGUCUUAAGCUGUCCUAGCAACUGUAAAACUGACGAAUGUUAAUGAGCACCACUGAAUAACAUAUUUGGGAAGGAUUAACUAGUAGGAUGAAGUUAAGCCAGUAGACCGGCCUGAUAAAUUUAAUAAGA
This 191-nucleotide non-coding RNA is filed under the name Spiroplasma poulsonii. The record is from RNAcentral. Lineage: Bacteria; Bacillati; Mycoplasmatota; Mollicutes; Entomoplasmatales; Spiroplasmataceae.